Molecule: ribosomal RNA, 490 nt
Filed under: uncultured bacterium
Lineage: Bacteria
Description: bacterial SSU rRNA
Rfam family: Bacterial small subunit ribosomal RNA
Source: RNAcentral
CUACGUGCCAGCAGCCGCGGUAAUACGUAGGGCGCGAGCGUUGUCCGGAAUUAUUGGGCGUAAAGAGCUUGUAGGCGGUUUGUCGCGUCUGCUGUGAAAGGCCGGAGCUUAACUCCGUGUAUUGCAGUGGGUACGGGCAGACUAGAGUGCAGUAGGGGAGACUGGAAUUCCUGGUGUAGCGGUGGAAUGCGCAGAUAUCAGGAGGAACACCGAUGGCGAAGGCAGGUCUCUGGGCUGUAACUGACGCUGAGAAGCGAAAGCAUGGGGAGCGAACAGGAUUAGAUACCCUGGUAGUCCAUGCCGUAAACGUUGGGCACUAGGUGUGGGGGACAUUCCACGUUUUCCGCGCCGUAGCUAACGCAUUAAGUGCCCCGCCUGGGGAGUACGGCCGCAAGGYUAAAACUCAAAGAAAUUGACGGGGGCCCGCACAAGCGGCGGAGCAUGCGGAUUAAUUCGAUGCAACGCGAAGAACCUUACCAAGGCUUGACAU